ACAUGGCGCGCUAUAUCGCGACGCCCCCCCUAGGCGUGGCAGUGGCGGUCGGGCUGAUCUUUACCCUGGCAGGGCGCCUGGCGCUGAGGCGGGGCUGGUGCGCAGGCCGUGGUUGCCAGUGAUGGAUCUCGGCGUUUCCAGGGAGGAGCUCCUUUUGUUCCAGGCCCUCCCUGGUGCCCGCAGGGGCCACCAACCACGCCAGUCCCCGGGGACAUUGGCACGGCUCCCGUGACACCAGGAAAAGGCACUUCUAAGGGUCAGCUCGAACUGGAACUUGUCGGUGUUGGCGGGGGACGCGCCGGGUGCCUCGGGCGGAGGGGACGGGCUGCGCCGGAUCAUGCUCUGGACCACCCCCACACUGUGCCAGGAACCCUUGGCCAUGCCCGGCUGUGGUUGGGAGCCACCAGGCAGGACGUACCCACAGCCCAGAGCAAUGCCCAACAUCCGCAGUGCCAGGAAGGAUUCCCAGCCGUGUCCCCCUGCCCACCUGGAUCCGGUCGGAGUAGUUGUCCAGCAGCAGCACCCCCAGACUGGUCACCUUCUUGGUCUCCACCAUGGUCUUCAGAUCCGCCAGCAGGUUCAUGUGCUUGGACAUGUCCGUGGCCAACACCUGGGCAGGGCAAGCCGGGAACGGGGCUCAGCCUGACACUCCCCCCAGCCCAGACCCCCACCCUGGGGUGGUCCAGCCCCCCCGUACCAUGUCGAUGACCAUUUUUCGGAGCGUCUGCCUCUGCUUCCUGCUCAGGUUCUGGAAGAUGUCACAGUUCUCCUCCUGGAGGAGCUUGAAGCCCACGGCCAGGUGGUGGUUCUCCAGCACCGAGGCGUCGUUGUACAUCAGCGCCAGCUCCGAGUCUGUGAGAGGGCACCGGUCACCCUGGGGAGACCCCAGGUGGGGUCCUCCACACCCCCCCAGCUCCAUCCCUGCUCCCCAGCUCACUGGUGUUGAUGAGGAACUGGUUGGAGACGCCGGGGUGGUCGACGUCGUGGAUGGCGCUGGCGAAGAUGGCAGCCAUGAUCUCCAGGUCCGUGAAGACAGCCUGGGAAUGGUGGGAGAAGGAGUUGCGGGCGUGUUACAACCCUGCCAGACACACCUGGUGGCCUGAGGAGACCAAUAAUCACCUCCAGGGCAGGCGUGGAGAGGAGGACGUGGGUGGACUGCGCCACGUCGGCGGCGUGGAGGUUGUUGUGAUAGGCCACGUCGGCGUGGUAAUGGUCCUCCAGCGUCAGCAUGUAGGUGAUGAAGGUGUUGACGGGGAUGCGGAAGGUCUUCAUCAGGUCACGCUCCUGCAGGGAGGCGGGAGGUGACUCGUCCCCAUCCGGGCACGGGGACAGGGCCAUCCCACCGGGAUGCUCACCUGGAAGAUGCUGUACAUGAUGACGGUCAGCGGGCGGUUCCCCGAGUACUCGGCGACUUUAAACACGUUGAGCCCCCA
Molecule: long non-coding RNA, 1433 nt
Organism: Pipra filicauda (Wire-tailed manakin)
Lineage: Eukaryota; Metazoa; Chordata; Aves; Passeriformes; Pipridae
Exons: 4
Source: RefSeq, a predicted model, not a curated record